Molecule: ribosomal RNA, 522 nt
Filed under: Bacillus sp. (in: firmicutes)
Lineage: Bacteria; Bacillati; Bacillota; Bacilli; Caryophanales; Bacillaceae
Description: bacterial SSU rRNA
Rfam family: Bacterial small subunit ribosomal RNA
Source: RNAcentral
GCAGUCGAGCGAUGGAUUAGAGCUUGCUCUUAUGAAGUUAGCGGCGGACGGGUGAGUAACACGUGGGUAACCUACCCAUAAGACUGGGAUAACUCCGGGAAACCGGGGCUAAUACCGGAUAAUAUUUUGAACUGCAUAGUUCGAAAUUGAAAGGCGGCUUCGGCUGUCACUUAUGGAUGGACCCGCGUCGCAUUAGCUAGUUGGUGAGGUAACGGCUCACCAAGGCGACGAUGCGUAGCCGACCUGAGAGGGUGAUCGGCCACACUGGGACUGAGACACGGCCCAGACUCCUACGGGAGGCAGCAGUAGGGAAUCUUCCGCAAUGGACGAAAGUCUGACGGAGCAACGCCGCGUGAGUGAUGAAGGCUUUCGGGUCGUAAAACUCUGUUGUUAGGGAAGAACAAGUGCUAGUUGAAUAAGCUGGCACCUUGACGGUACCUAACCAGAAAGCCACGGCUAACUACGUGCCAGCAGCCGCGGUAAUACGUAGGUGUCAAGCGUUAUCCGGAAUUAUUGGGCGUA